Molecule: long non-coding RNA, 341 nt
Organism: Chrysoperla carnea
Lineage: Eukaryota; Metazoa; Arthropoda; Insecta; Neuroptera; Chrysopidae
Exons: 4
Source: RefSeq, a predicted model, not a curated record
AGCGUUUUGAAAUUUAGACAGAAUCUGGUAGCCUAAUUAGUUUAGAAGUUAAAAAUAGGCGAAAAUGUAGGAUCUGCAAUUUGCAAACACAACACUACAAAUUUAAAACGCAAUACUGUACCAACUUUAUAUUUACCAGAAAAUGAAGCAUCAAUAGCUGACCCUGCGGUAGAUGAAUAUUCGACAACCUCAUCGCCCGGCGUAUAAAUAACAGAAAAUGAAGCAACAAUAGCUGACGCAAAUGGAUUAGAGCCAACCUCAUCGCUCGGUGUUAAAAGACCAGGGGCACCUAUUUCUCCAGCCGUUGUUGCGAAAAAAGUUGGAAGAAAGGAAAUAACUAA